UAGGGAAUCUUCGGCAAUGGACGAAAGUCUGACCGAGCAACGCCGCGUGAGUGAAGAAGGUUUUCGGAUCGUAAAACUCUGUUGUUAGAGAAGAACAAGGACGUUAGUAACUGAACGUCCCCUGACGGUAUCUAACCAGAAAGCCACGGCUAACUACGUGCCAGCAGCCGCGGUAAUACGUAGGUGGCAAGCGUUGUCCGGAUUUAUUGGGCGUAAAGCGAGCGCAGGCGGUUUCUUAAGUCUGAUGUGAAAUCCCCGGGCUCAACCUGGGAACUGCAUCUGAUACUGGCAAGCUUGAGUCUCGUAGAGGGGGGUAGAAUUCCAGGUGUAGCGGUGAAAUGCGUAGAGAUCUGGAGGAAUACCGGUGGCGAAGGCGGCCCCCUGGACGAAGACUGACGCUCAGGUGCGAAAGCGUGGGGAGCAAACAGG
RNAcentral lists this ribosomal RNA (429 nucleotides) under Chloroflexota bacterium. RNAcentral describes it as "Chloroflexi bacterium partial 16S ribosomal RNA". It matches the Rfam family "Bacterial small subunit ribosomal RNA", at positions 355 to 776 of the family's 1533-position model. Lineage: Bacteria; Bacillati; Chloroflexota. The record is from RNAcentral.